CAGUAGCUCAGCUGGAUAGAGCAACGGCCUUCUAAGCCGUGGGUCGGGGGUUCGAAUCCCUUCUG
Molecule: transfer RNA, 65 nt
Filed under: uncultured Eubacterium sp.
Lineage: Bacteria; Bacillati; Bacillota; Clostridia; Eubacteriales; Eubacteriaceae
Rfam family: tRNA
About the family: Transfer RNA (tRNA) molecules are approximately 80 nucleotides in length. Their secondary structure includes four short double-helical elements and three loops (D, anti-codon, and T loops).
Source: RNAcentral